CCUGUCUCUUGAGGGAUUGCAGAUAUGGCUGCCAUGUCACAUGUGUGUCAGUAGGUGGCAGAGAGGGGAGAAGCUAUGUCUUCACUCAGUGUUCUGACCUAUGAACAUCUGGAUGAUUAGUAGUCUAACAUU
Molecule: small nucleolar RNA, 132 nt
Organism: Arvicanthis niloticus (Nile rat)
Lineage: Eukaryota; Metazoa; Chordata; Mammalia; Rodentia; Muridae
Product: small nucleolar RNA SNORA17
Source: RefSeq, a predicted model, not a curated record